Molecule: unclassified non-coding RNA, 320 nt
Filed under: Hevea brasiliensis (rubber tree)
Lineage: Eukaryota; Viridiplantae; Streptophyta; Magnoliopsida; Malpighiales; Euphorbiaceae
Source: RNAcentral
CUAACUUGUGGCCUCCCCUGCCCCCUAUGGACAGGGGGACCUCCGCCUCCGUUCAAGAGCGGAUCUUCUCUCACCCUCUUUUAUGUCGUUUAUAUAUAGAGAUUUUAUUUUUGGCAAGUCCAAAACUUGUAUUGGUGAGGGGAUUUGAUUGUCCUGAACAGCCUUGAAGUGUAGGUUGUUGGUAUGUUUUCUAGGUUUGUGAUAGACAUGGAAGCUUUCUCUGUCGGUGGGUGCUAAUAUGUUUAUGCAUGGUACAGAAACAGUCUGUAUUGCAUGGUGGUGGUUAUUCCAGAGCGCAAUCAAAAGGGUUGGCCCCGAGG